This 701-nucleotide ribosomal RNA is filed under the name Pseudomonas sp. RNAcentral describes it as "bacterial SSU rRNA". It matches the Rfam family "Bacterial small subunit ribosomal RNA", at positions 30 to 726 of the family's 1533-position model. The record is from RNAcentral. Lineage: Bacteria; Pseudomonadati; Pseudomonadota; Gammaproteobacteria; Pseudomonadales; Pseudomonadaceae.
UGAACGCUGGCGGCAGGCCUAACACAUGCAAGUCGAGCGGUAGAGAGAAGCUUGCUUCUCUUGAGAGCGGCGGACGGGUGAGUAAUGCCUAGGAAUCUGCCUGGUAGUGGGGGAUAACGUUCGGAAACGGACGCUAAUACCGCAUACGUCCUACGGGAGAAAGCAGGGGACCUUCGGGCCUUGCGCUAUCAGAUGAGCCUAGGUCGGAUUAGCUAGUUGGUGAGGUAAUGGCUCACCAAGGCGACGAUCCGUAACUGGUCUGAGAGGAUGAUCAGUCACACUGGAACUGAGACACGGUCCAGACUCCUACGGGAGGCAGCAGUGGGGAAUAUUGGACAAUGGGCGAAAGCCUGAUCCAGCCAUGCCGCGUGUGUGAAGAAGGUCUUCGGAUUGUAAAGCACUUUAAGUUGGGAGGAAGGGCAGUUACCUAAUACGUGAUUGUUUUGACGUUACCGACAGAAUAAGCACCGGCUAACUCUGUGCCAGCAGCCGCGGUAAUACAGAGGGUGCAAGCGUUAAUCGGAAUUACUGGGCGUAAAGCGCGCGUAGGUGGUUAGUUAAGUUGGAUGUGAAAUCCCCGGGCUCAACCUGGGAACUGCAUUCAAAACUGACUGACUAGAGUAUGGUAGAGGGUGGUGGAAUUUCCUGUGUAGCGGUGAAAUGCGUAGAUAUAGGAAGGAACACCAGUGGCGAAGGCGACC